This 406-nucleotide ribosomal RNA is filed under the name uncultured bacterium. RNAcentral's name for it is "partial 16S ribosomal RNA". It matches the Rfam family "Bacterial small subunit ribosomal RNA", at positions 29 to 526 of the family's 1533-position model. The record is from RNAcentral.
AUUGAACGCUGGCGGCAGGCCUAACACAUGCAAGUCGAGCGAGCGGCGGACGGGUGAGUAACGUCUGGGAAACUGCCUGAUGGAGGGGGAUAACCACUGGAAAAGGUAGUCAAAAACGCAUACCAUGAGAGGUGCACAGAUGGGAUUAGCUAGUGGGUGGGGUAACGGCUCACCAAGGCGACGAAACCUAGCUGGUCUGAGAGGAUGACCGGCCACACUGGAACUGAGACACGGUCCAGACUCCUACGGGAGGCAGCAGUGGGGAAUAUUGCGCAAUGGGCGAAAGCCUGAUGCAGCCAUGCCGCGUGUGUGAAGAAGGUCUUCGGGUUGUAAAGCUCUUUCGUCAGAGAAGCGUUACCCACAGAGAAAGCACCGGCUAACUCCGUGCCAGCCGCCGCGGUAAUUC